GCGAAUGCUGACAUGAGUAGCGAUAAUGCGGGUGAAAAGCCCGCACGCCGUAAGCCCAAGGUUUCCUGUUCAACGUUCAUCGGAGCAGGGUGAGUCGGCCCCUAAGGCGAGGCAGAGAUGCGUAGCUGAUGGGAAGCAGGUUAAUAUUCCUGCACCGUCGUAUGAUGCGAUGGGGGGACGGAUCGCGGAAGGUUGUCCAGCUGUUGGAAUAGCUGGUUUCUGGUUCAUAGAAGGCGCUUAGGCAAAUCCGGGCGCGGAAUUCAAGGGACUGGGACGUGUACCCAUGUGGUACGAAGCAAUCGGAAGUGGUUCCAAGAAAAGCCUCUAAGCUUCAGUCAUACGAGACCGUACCGCAAACCGACACAGGUGGGCGAGAUGAGUAUUCUAAGGCGCUUGAGAGAACUCGGGAGAAGGAACUCGGCAAAUUGGUACCGUAACUUCGGGAUAAGGUACGCCCUAG
RNAcentral lists this ribosomal RNA (460 nucleotides) under Prymnesium parvum. RNAcentral describes it as "partial Bacterial large subunit ribosomal RNA". It matches the Rfam family "Bacterial large subunit ribosomal RNA", at positions 1290 to 1756 of the family's 2925-position model. The record is from RNAcentral. Lineage: Eukaryota; Haptophyta; Prymnesiales; Prymnesiaceae.